CAGCAGCCGCGGUAAAACGAAGGGUGCAAGCGUUAAUCGGAAUUACUGGGCGUAAAGCGUGCGUAGGCGGUUUGUUAAGUCUGUUGUGAAAUCCCCGGGCUCAACCUGGGAAUGGCAAUGGAUACUGGCAAGCUAGAGUGUGUCAGAGGAUGGUGGAAUUCCCGGUGUAGCGGUGAAAUGCGUAGAGAUCGGGAGGAACAUCAGUGGCGAAGGCGGCCAUCUGGGACAACACUGACGCUGAGGCACGAAAGCGUGGGGAGCAAACAGGAUUAGAGACCCCCGUAGUCCCUGUCUCUUAUAC
This 301-nucleotide ribosomal RNA is filed under the name uncultured bacterium. RNAcentral's name for it is "partial 16S ribosomal RNA". It matches the Rfam family "Bacterial small subunit ribosomal RNA", at positions 509 to 807 of the family's 1533-position model. The record is from RNAcentral.